Molecule: non-coding RNA, 30 nt
Filed under: Homo sapiens (human)
Lineage: Eukaryota; Metazoa; Chordata; Mammalia; Primates; Hominidae
Source: RNAcentral
UGUGCUGGUGAUGGAGGAGAUAUCCCGAGC